UAAUGUACCCCUUGGCAAAACAAUUCCUUACCUUGUUCAGAGUCAAGUUGAUAUUAUUAAACUGUGUUGAAAUUCUAAGGUUCGGGUAAAAACCCCAUGAGUUCCAAAAGCCCAGAUAAGUGCGAAAACAAAGAAAAAAAGAAAAGAGAAUCAUUGAGAGAAAAAGAAAAUAAAAAAGAAAAGAGAAAAUCAUCGAGAGAAAAAGAAAAAAAAUAUAAAUAAACUCGAGGGUUCAAAAGAAGAACAAGCCAAAGAAGGGCACUCGAUCUAAAAAUAAGAAUGGAAACAAAAAACCAAGCGAAAAACCAAAGAAAAACAAAGCAACA
Molecule: long non-coding RNA, 326 nt
Filed under: Lathyrus oleraceus (garden pea)
Lineage: Eukaryota; Viridiplantae; Streptophyta; Magnoliopsida; Fabales; Fabaceae
Description: Pisum sativum (pea) long non-coding RNA (PSAT_LNC035808)
Source: RNAcentral